GAUGAACGCUGGCGGCGUGCCUAAUACAUGCAAGUCGAGCGAACAGACGAGGAGCUUGCUCCUCUGACGUUAGCGGCGGACGGGUGAGUAACACGUGGAUAACCUACCUAUAAGACUGGGAUAACUUCGGGAAACCGGAGCUAAUACCGGAUAAUAUAUUGAACCGCAUGGUUCAAUAGUGAAAGACGGUUUUGCUGUCACUUAUAGAUGGAUCCGCGCCGCAUUAGCUAGUUGGUAAGGUAACGGCUUACCAAGGCAACGAUGCGUAGCCGACCUGAGAGGGUGAUCGGCCACCCUGGAACUGAGCCACGGUCCAGACUCCUACGGGAGGCAGCAGUAGGGAAUCUUACGCAAUGGGAGAAAGCCUGACGGAGCAACGCCGCGUGAGUGAUGAAGGUCUUCGGAUCGUAAAACUCUGUUAUUAGGGAAGAACAAAUGUGUAAGUAACUAUGCACGUAUUGACGGUACCUAAUCAGAAAGCCACGGCUAACUACGUG
RNAcentral lists this ribosomal RNA (497 nucleotides) under uncultured bacterium. RNAcentral's name for it is "partial 16S ribosomal RNA". It matches the Rfam family "Bacterial small subunit ribosomal RNA", at positions 28 to 507 of the family's 1533-position model. The record is from RNAcentral.